RNAcentral lists this ribosomal RNA (342 nucleotides) under uncultured bacterium. RNAcentral's name for it is "bacterial SSU rRNA". It matches the Rfam family "Bacterial small subunit ribosomal RNA", at positions 8 to 334 of the family's 1533-position model. The record is from RNAcentral.
AGAGUUUGAUUAUGGCUCAGGAUGAACGCUGGCGGCGUGCCUAACACAUGCAAGUCGAACGAAGCACCUUACCUGAUUCUUCGGAUGAAGGUCUGGUGACUGAGUGGCGGACGGGUGAGUAACGCGUGGGUAACCUGCCCUGUACAGGGGGAUAACAGUUGGAAACGGCUGCUAAUACCGCAUAAGCGCACGAGAGGACAUCCUCUUGUGUGAAAAACUCCGGUGGUACAGGAUGGGCCCGCGUCUGAUUAGCUGGUUGGCAGGGUAACGGCCUACCAAGGCGACGAUCAGUAGCCGGUCUGAGAGGAUGAACGGCCACAUUGGAACUGAGACACGGUCCAA